GACGAACGCUGGCGGCGUGCUUAACACAUGCAAGUCGAACGGUGAAAGCGGAGCUUGCUCCGCUGGAUCAGUGGCGAACGGGUGAGUAACACGUGGGCAACCUGCCCCUCACUUCGGGAUAACUCCGGGAAACCGGGGCUAAUACCGGAUAUGACCUCCUUGGGCAUCCUUGGAGGUGGAAAGUUUUUCGGUGAGGGAUGGGCCCGCGGCCUAUCAGCUUGUUGGUGAGGUAGUGGCUCACCAAGGCGACGACGGGUAGCCGGCCUGAGAGGGCGACCGGCCACACUGGGACUGAGACACGGCCCAGACUCCUACGGGAGGCAGCAGUGGGGAAUAUUGCGCAAUGGGCGAAAGCCUGACGCAGCAACGCCGCGUGCGGGAUGACGGCCUUCGGGUUGUAAACCGCUUUCGUCCGGGACGAUAAUGACGGUACCGGAAGAAGAAGCCCCCGGCUAACUUCGUGCCAGCAGCCGCGGUAA
This 479-nucleotide ribosomal RNA is filed under the name uncultured bacterium. RNAcentral's name for it is "partial 16S ribosomal RNA". It matches the Rfam family "Bacterial small subunit ribosomal RNA", at positions 28 to 523 of the family's 1533-position model. The record is from RNAcentral.